GGGUGACUGCGUACCUUUUGUAUAAUGGGUCAGCGACUUAUAUUCUGUAGCAAGGUUAACCGUAUAGGGGAGCCGUAGGGAAACCGAGUCUUAACUGGGCGAAUUAGUUGCAGGGUAUAGACCCGAAACCCGGUGAUCUAGCCAUGGGCAGGUUGAAGGUUGGGUAACACUAACUGGAGGACCGAACCGACUAAUGUUGAAAAAUUAGCGGAUGACUUGUGGCUGGGGGUGA
Molecule: ribosomal RNA, 232 nt
Filed under: Morganella morganii
Lineage: Bacteria; Pseudomonadati; Pseudomonadota; Gammaproteobacteria; Enterobacterales; Morganellaceae
Description: partial 23S ribosomal RNA
Rfam family: Bacterial large subunit ribosomal RNA
Source: RNAcentral